ACGAACGCUGGCGGCAGGCUUAACACAUGCAAGUCGAACGGUAACAGGAGAAAGCUUGCUUUCUUGCUGACGAGUGGCGGACGGGUGAGUAAUGCUUGGGAAUCUGGCUUAUGGAGGGGGAUAACGACGGGAAACUGUCGCUAAUACCGCGUAGAGUCGAGAGACGAAAGUGCGGGACCUUCGGGCCGCAUGCCAUGAGAUGAGCCCAAGUGGGAUUAGGUAGUUGGUGGGGUAAAGGCCUACCAAGCCGACGAUCUCUAGCUGGUCUGAGAGGAUGACCAGCCACACCGGGACUGAGACACGGCCCGGACUCCUACGG
This 319-nucleotide ribosomal RNA is filed under the name uncultured bacterium. Its description in RNAcentral is "bacterial SSU rRNA". It matches the Rfam family "Bacterial small subunit ribosomal RNA", at positions 29 to 344 of the family's 1533-position model. The record is from RNAcentral.